This 1504-nucleotide long non-coding RNA is filed under the name Chrysemys picta bellii (western painted turtle). RNAcentral describes it as "lncRNA (ENSCPBG00000017445.1)". Lineage: Eukaryota; Metazoa; Chordata; Testudines; Emydidae. The record is from RNAcentral.
GGCCAGGAGCAGGCAAGGCCAGGCAUGUGAUGUGCUUUUAUUCCUAGGCAGUGCUGCUCCCUUUGCAGCGGGAGGUCCGGUCUCUCCAGUCCAGACUUAGACCGACGCCUGUUUCGCUGUGGGGCCUGGAGUAGCUCCCCUGGCCCCUCCCCACCCACUCUCGCUCAGCUGAUUUGUGCCUGGGUGCCCAGCCACGGCCAUUGGAGUUUGGGGGCUUGAACGAGGAGGGGUUUCGCCUUGAGCAACAGGAUGUUCCCCGGAAGAGGGCACCCAAAUGGUUUCUUCCAUCCCUGCCCUAAGGACAUCAGCCCCUCCGCCUACCCUGACGACUUUCGCAGGGAUGACGAGGGCAUGGGGUGGGCGCCCCAGGACCAUCAGGAGGCAGCCAACUGGGAUUACCGACACGGGAGACGCGAGGAAGGCUUCAGGGACAGGUGGCACUCGGUAAGCGGGUCUGGGUUGAGCCUGGAGGGGUGUUGUGUCCAGGCAGAGUGUGGGAGGUGAGCUGGGGCUAGGGCAGGAGCAGGGGACGUGGGUAGUGAGGACGAUGUCCCGGGGAGAAUUCCUGGGGCAGGCAUAAGCAAUCCUGCUUGGCCCUGCAUGCAAAUGAGUGGAGCCUUCCUGAACCCGGGCGGGGAGGAUGUUAGGCUGGUCAGGAAGAUGGGGGCAGCGGGGUAGGGGUGCCCCUGUGAGGGGUAGGGGGUCCAGACUGGCUCUGCCAGGAGUCCUGAUCUGGCCCUGCUUCCCAGCGGUCACAAACCCACCAAGCCAUAGGAAUAGGCCAAGAUAUUACAUGCCCGGGGCUUGAUUCACCCCCUGAGGACCAGCCAGUAUCCUUCCUGCUAAUGCAUCCCAGCAGAACAUCUUAGGUGUGUCGCCUGCCUCUGGCUGCUGCCGUUCCAGAUCACUCCUGCCGCUCACUCCCAUUGAGGCAGAGUGCCCUAGCAGGGGCCUGGGUGGCUGGACACCUGGGCUCUAAUCCUGGCUGUGCCACUGACUCGCUGUGUGACCCUUGGCAAGUCACUCGACCUCUUCUUGCCUCGGUUCCCCCAGCAGUUAACCACAAACGAACGGGGCUUGCCCACCUACCUCGCAGUUAAGUGCCCCAGAUGCAUUCCUUGCUGCUGUGAUGAAGCAGCAACGGUGGGGCACAAAACAGUGACUAGCUGAGAGAAGGUAAAUGGGUCGCUCCUGUUCACCUUCAUUCAUCGCACGGGAACAAGGGGACAUUGAUUAAAACUGAUUGGAGCAGGUCCUUGUAUUUACACUACACAUAAUUAACCCAGGGCCUAGAGUUCAGUCAGGUUCAAAGGGGAAUAGACAUUUUACUGAUGUGGAUAAUGUGAAUAUUUGCAGUUACAUUCCACAGGAAAAAAAGACUAUGUAAAGGCUACAAACCUUCAUGCUUCAGGGUACGAGACAGCUGCUAACUGAUGGGGUCAGGCAGAAAAUUCCCCUCUGGGCCAGUUAUUCCAUAGUGUUCAUUGCAAGGUUUCUUGCAUCU